UUACGGCCACGUCACGUUGAAACACCGGAUCCCAUACAAUCCCCGAAGUUGAGCAUCGUCGAGCCUGGUCUGUACCUAGACGGGUGACGCUUGGGAAUAUCAG
This is a non-coding RNA of Acanthosepion pharaonis, 103 nucleotides long. NCBI's taxonomy places the organism in Eukaryota, Metazoa, Mollusca, Cephalopoda, Sepiida, Sepiidae. The record is from the annotation of a GenBank genome assembly.